GUGAAGUGGAACUACAAAGUUGCACAAAAUGUAUUUGUAUGCAACGAAAUGUGUGACAAAAACAUGUGAAAAGACAAAGAUGAGGGGAAGGGGGAUGACAUGAAAAACGCUGACAAGAAAACAAUUGUUGUGAUGUGCAGAUUAUGGAGUUAUUGUCGGGAAAGACUGGGAUAUGUGUCUGUAUGUGAGUGCUUGCAUCUGUUGAUGAGAGGAGGGCAGUGAAUGACAGUGAUAAUGUUAAAGCUGAGUACCACAUAACGAAAAAUGGAAGAAAAAAUUAAAGAACAAAUAAAAUAGAAGAAAGGACAGAAAAAACGUACACUAUCGUCUCUCAAUAAUUAUACUUUAUAACAGUAUUUGAGUUAAUGUACUUAUAAUACUCCACAGCUGGUUGGAAGUUUUUUAUUGAAGUGAGUAUGCAAGAGAUAAAUGGUGGAAACAGCGCCACUCUGCCAGUCAGUGUUCAGCAGCCCCCAUUAGCCUGUCUGGUGGAGGACAGGUGAGGUCACCUUGGUUAGCAUGUUCGUGAAAAACCAAUCUCUUUGAGAGGUCACGACGCUGAAAAAAUACUGAAAUAAAGCAACUACAUGGUGACCUGACACCAAUGAAACCAUAAACUGUCGGCUGCAACCUUACUCAAAUGAAACAAGAGCGUUGGGUUAGCAGGAGUUCCAGAGGUUUUUAAUGGGAACAGAUUCCGUGCUUUUGUUUGCCGUGAGUUAGCUACAGUAGUUAGUUGUUAACUAGCGACGGAGCAAAGAUUUCUGGACUUCAAAGUGAAAAACAAGAGAUUUAAAAUUGCCUGGACCUGAGCCUGUUUCUACAAGUGGAGGUGGAAGACGUGGAUGUGGACACAGCCAAAAAAUAAAUUUGCAGACGUCUGUGAUAAUUGAGCACUUGGCCUCCAUGACAGAUGAGGACUUCAAACAUAGUAGGAUGAUGAAUCUCUAACAGCAAAGACAAGGAGUUCUGGGAAACAAAUGAAACAUCAGAUUGAGGCAGAUCCAGAGUGUGGGAGAAAGGAAGUUGCUCCGUCUGCUGUCACAACAACACAACACACCCCAGAGAGUGAAUAAUUGAUAUGAUACCUCACCUCGACAGGGUCAGGAGCAGGGGAAACAUUCCCUCCAGCUCAACUUGCCGAUGCAUCCAUCUCCUCCAUGUUAACACUGACAAGUUGUUUCCUCACUUAGGAGUUACUUUACUCCACUCCCUGAUCUGAUGGACUCCUGUUGGACCGUGUCCUCUCUUGGGGAGGCAGCACAAACGUUGCGUAUUGACGAGUUUUUAAAAAUAUGCAUAGAUCCUAUGUACCCAGCAGACAGAGUGUAAUAAUGAGAAACAAGAGGCAAUUUUCUCCUUCAUCUAACACCAUGCAUUCAAGCAGAGAACAGCAUAUCAUGUUGUGCUGAUACAGAUUUCAGCCCCAAGUAAAAAAAAAAAAAACAUGUAUAUGUGCUGGCCUUUGCUUGACGUGGUGAAAGUUGCAAAGGCCUCCACAUCAGAUAUGACUACAGUACACCCUCACUAAAGUAUCCACAUGUACAGCAACAAUAAUAAGUUAGGACCAAAACAAAAAUGCAUCUCUCUUGUCUUACACGAGAUCUACACCUCUUCUAAAUUGGUUUACACAGUCUUUUAUGGCCCCAUGCUGUGCAGUUUAUCAGAUAUUUGCCUUUUAAGUGGAAAUGUGCAUUUUCUUCAUUUUUUUGUAUGGUGAUUUCUUAUUCCCGUGGUGUUUUAGAGAUUGUACAGUCUGUCCAGAACAGCACGGCGCCUUCAAGUAGGGCUUUUAUUCACUGUGUUCAUGGACUGAAUCCAUUUGAAUAAACUGCUUCUGAUUUGUAAUGUGGACAUUUUCCCAAAGCGUAACAGAUAUUCAUGACAUACACUGAUGUUUUUUAAAUUGCACGAGCCCAUGGAAGCAACUUUUUAAUUUUGACGAUCUGGUUUUAUGGUUGGUCACACUUCUAAUUUUCACUAUACUGUACUACAGUUAUAGUGUAAGGCUUUUUUUUUUUUUAGAAGUGCUUGAUGGAUGGUCCAGUUAAAUUACAGUGACCUGAAUCAACCCUAGUAGCAUCUAUAUAAUCUCCUUUCAUUAUCCUAUGUAAAUCUAAGCAGACUAUUCUCUAUGUAUGCUCUCAGUACAUGCACAUAAAACAGCCCUGAAUAUAGAUAACUUACUAUCCAUACAAUAUUUAUUCCUGCAAUCCUUGUACUACUCCAUAGUAUCAAACGAACCUGUAUAGUCUGUUGCCCAGCUCGUAUGUAUUAGAUAUAUUUUAGUUAGUUAAGCUUGUUAUUGUUGUUCAGCUGUAUGUGUUUUGUAUUCCUCUGUACAUUUGUAUGUAAGUAUAUUGAAAACCAGAGAUAAAUUCCUUUUAUGUGUCAACAUACUUGUUGUUGGUACUGAUAGUUGCUAAGCAUGACUUUGUAAUGCAAAAAAGGAAAAGAAAUAUGUCAGUUUUGAAUUGAAACAAGGCAACUUCUCAUGGGUUGACUUCUGCUGCAUGGCCUUCAAAUUCACUCAGGAAGCUCAUGCCAAAGAUUUAUUAAUGCUGAGCUUGAUAUGGACAGAGGUCUCCACCAAAUGGCGCGUACAUAAGCACAGUUUUAUUGAAUGCAGAUCUGGCUUCUGUCAACCUCACUCAUGACCUUUUGGAUUCGGAGCCACCGGUCCAUGCUGCUGCCCUGAUCAAUAUCUACUCUAGCAAGGAGGCUAACAAUUAAAAGCUGGUUCUCAUACAGACAAGAAAGGUGCUCUACCGAGAUUAAGUCAUAUAUUAAAAGCAUAUUAUUCAUAAAUUUAUCAGAAUGUAUUAAUAUUAACAGUUUAGGAAAUUUCUGCUAUAAUUUAUAGAUGUCAGAUUUUAUUUUUUUCAAAAUUCGUUAAUAUUUCUCAUCAUAGGCAGUUAUGUUUCAAACCCACCAAACUCAAUUAAUCAGCACAGUAAUUGCUAAUCACAGUCACUUGCUUCUGGUCAUAGCAACAUGGUUGUACGCACUGUGUGCACUAAUCCACUGUUGUGAGGAUGUGGAGAUGGACAGAUGUGGCAUCUCCAGCUUUUUUUAAGGAGUUUUUCAGCUGAAGUGAUUCAGACUUCAGCUUCUGGAAGUCGUGGUGCCUCUUCCUUUUUCUCCAGCUUUCCAGUUUUACACAAAAGUGCAUACUUGGAUUAGCGGGGUCAGCUAAUCAGUCCUAAUUUGGCCUGCCAGUUGGACACUCUUGAACGUAGUCCCAUUCAGAGCUCAUGUUGUCUGAGCUAGCUUCAUCAUCAUCAUCUCAUGCUCCAGGUCUGCUUUUAAAUGAUCUGAUUCAUAAAUGGCACAAAAACAAAUUCCUCAUCAGCAGAUUUAGAGUCAUCAAAACUCUUGAGUAUCAGAUGAAUUCACACAGGUGCUGCAGCAUCAUGCUGCUGUGACAGUAAGUUAAUAUAAACCAACGUCUUCAUCACUGUGUUUGUAUUUAUUCAUAGUAACAGUGAGACAACAACGCACCAUGAGGUCGAACUUGUAUCCAGCAUCCCAUUGAAAAAAAGGAAACGCUCAAACAAGUCCGUCGGGUUUAAUUUAAGGGAUAUCAAGGAGCUGAGUGCUUAGAAUUAUUAAAUUAAAUUAAAUGCUGAGAAUUGUUUAGACAGGAUGUAAUAUAGUCCCAGGUUGCUUAAGCCCCUAGGUGUGCUGUUCAUCUAAGGGUUAAACGCACCUCUGCUACCAAUAGUACAUAUUCAGUAAAUCUUUCAGUGACCAUCUCACAUUUGCUUAUAGUUUCUGCCCUGCAGGUGCUUUAAUGGUUUUCCCCUUCUGGCCUUAACAUUAUAUUUAAUGGCAGUAAUGUUCCAGCAGACAUAAUCCACCGACUACGAGUCAUAUUACAGAAAAUCAGCCAUGAUUAUGAAAAUGACUAUUUUCAAAUCACAGUUGCAGUUCAGUCCUGGGUAAAAAUGAGUUGAAAUAACUGACCACUUACAAAAUCAACAACUGCUGCUGUUUCUGUUUUUCCCAGAACAGCAGCAUAAUUGACACUAUUCAAAAUCAAUACAGCACUAAUUAUGUUCUUUCCCUUUUCAGUGCAGUGAUUAAGAGAAGAAUCAUGAGUGAACCCUUCAGACAUGUAAUUAUCGUUCUCUUCACAUGACACUGUCGAUAGUUCAGCGAGGCCCUUUAACAUUUUAGACCUAAAAACAGAUACACUCUCAGCAAAAUGUAAUGAUCUGCACUUUUUUAUUUUCUUUUAAAACCUCGACCCUCGAAAAGGAAAUGAAUAGCCGAGUCACCCUUUAUACAAUACAAAGAAGAUAAUUCCUCUUUAAACCACUUCAGAGUAAUCUGUGAAGAUUAUGGCCCUUUUUCUGUCCAAUUUCAUUUAAAACAAAAAACAAAAAAACAAGUAGUAGAUUAAGCUCAGUGUUUACAGUCUCUGAGUGUGAGAGUUUGCAGGGCUGACAUUCAGAGCUCAGAACCACUGAUGACGUGGCGAACAUGCUAUAAAAAUGAACAUCAAUGUGAACCUUCAUUACGACAAAGCUACGUGACAUGACACUGUAUAUGAAAUGUAAUAUUCAGAAGGUCAGCUAUACGCUGGAGUCCGUUUUUCUUUUGUUCAUUUGGUUGUCUGAUUCAAUCUACUGUUUCUGUAUUCUUUAAUAUUAAAGGCCAAUACAUCAUUUAAACUCAAAUUAAAGCAUAUGCUCCAUCCAGCAUAUUUGGGCUGUUGUAACACUGAGUACACACAACACAACAUACAACCAGAUCUGUGCGGGGAUUAUGACUCCAGUUAUUCACUGCGGCUCUUUACUAGUCCAGGACACAGGCGGAGGUUUAAUCAACCACGAAACUGGUUUAUUUACUCUCUCAUUUACCCAGUGUAAGCACACUAUGUACACGCUAUACUGUUCUUUAAAUCUCAGGCCUCUCCUCCCUGCAAACAAACUGGUUAAUGUGGGUGAGAGUUAAUGGGUUCAGGGAUCAUUCAUUUUCUCAUCAGGCAAAACGCUCUGCUCCAUCAGAUAUAGAUUUACUUCAUCAAAGCAGCAACUAAUUUUAUUGCUCUGGUUGAGGAUAUGGUCCAAAAUACUAAAAAUUAUUUUUUUUGAGAGAGCAGAUCACAUUUUAAUUUCAUAAAGCAAUUAAACAUUGAUGUUAAAACUGGACUAAAACAAUUUCUCCACAUUUUCUGUUUAGUAGCUGUUCUUUAGUUUCUUUAGCUUUUGAUCAUAUCACAUGAUCUUCAUCAGGGAAUGGAGUUUGAUCAGUCAUCAAGGAAGUGUAGACUGGAUGAUUUAGAUUCUUUGGUUACAUUUAACCAUUGUUUCAACAGCAUUUUACUUACUAUAUUUUAAUGUGCAACUAGAACCUGCUUGACAGUGAAAUAUAGUCAAUUAAAUGCUAUUGAAAUUUUUACCUAGAUAACCUAGAUGACCUUAACUGACCAAUCGGUGCUAACUGGGUUGGGCAGUAUAUAUUUUCUUAUUAUUAUUGUUUGCAUGUUGAAAUCAUGACAGAUACUAAAAUAUCAAUUCAAGCUUAUUUGAUUUAAAUAAAUAAAAGCAAUGUAAUGAAAAUGCACCCAUCUUUACUGAAUUUCAAAGCGAGGCUGCAAGAGACAAGAGCAACCUAUCACUAUUAGUUGAUAUGCUACACAUUCAUGUUAAAAUUAAUUAAAAAUUUUGGGGAAUAUGCUGUGUCACUUUUUUACUGAGAGUUGAAUGAGAAGAUCGGUGCCGCUCUUUCAUGUGAUGCUGGAGCCAGAAGCCGGUUAGCUUAGCACAAAGACUGGAAAUGGGGAAACAGUCAUUCUGGCUAUGUCUACAGUCUAAAAAACUCAUUAAUUAAAUGCUUGUUUGUGUACAAAAAACAAUUUCUUGUUUUACGGGGACUUACGUUACCAUAAAUUCAGGUAUAGCUGUGACAAGUUUGACAAAUCUACUUGAAAGCACAAUGUUAACUGUCUCCUAAACAGCAAUAGAUUACACCAGAGCUGGGCUUAUCACUGUUUGAUCUUUCAGUAAUACAGUGCUUACAGACUACCCAGACGGACAAACAUGACCGUGCUGUUUGUGGUUGGUGUCACUUCACAGGAUUUCUGGGAACUCGCCUCAAUAUUUCAAACCGUUGCCUCCUGCUGCUGUUUUUGAAGUAGCAGUGGCUGACACAACAUGUUGCCCUCUGGUCUCAAAAAUUCUUAUCUACAGAUUUGUGCGCAUGAUUGUCAUCUUUGACCUCGGAUGUGAUGAAGUGCAGACGGCCUCCAACGAAUGCAUGUGGGUGGUUUCUUUUUUUUUACUAUGACGCAAGAGAUUGAAAACAUGCAUUGGGAGUCAAAACAGCAACUUUUAGUUUAUAUUGACUUUUGCCUCAGAUUUUUUGUUUAAACUGAUGAUGAUAGCACACAUUAUUUAGCAGAGAAUUUAACUUUGUAUUCAUAUCUGUAAAAUAAACACAAAAGACACCACGUUGCCACUAGACAACUACUCAUGUUUCCACUCAGUUGUGCUGGGAUUUUUAAAACAUUUUUUAUCCAUGUUUAAGGCUCAUCUGAUAGAGAUGUGCUCUCCAAUAACUCCUUUGCUUGACUGAAAGGAACUGACAAACACCAAAAACCUGAGCUGAAUGAUGAAUGAUGUUUUCUAGUAAAGUCUAACUGCACACUCAGUGAAGAGGUCCCACGGCAUGAGUCAAGGCUGGGAGUGUUGAGAGCUGAAUUUCAAACACCUCAGUAGCACCUCCACUUUUAUUGCAGAGCCUCUGUUUCCACUUAAACCCACCACUUCUCUAGAAUCCAUACAAUCUAACUGGACAUGCCAGGAUUCAUUAAAGUCGUGUGAGGCAGUGUGAUGGUUGCUAAAUUAACACAUUAGCGAGUUGAAAUUGCUAGUAGAGUUAAGACAAAACUUGAAUGGCUGAUGCAAACGCUCCUCAGAGAUGUAAAAUCCAUUACAUGGUCAUAAGUAACAAGAAAUUAAAGUUCCAGUGAACCUCAGUCUCAUUAUGGAAAUGUUGUUGAUGGUUUGGUCAUUAGGGCGGUAACUCGCUCAUUUGAUCCAUCAGCUAAAACCCCGGUGUGCAGCCCACCACUAUCCAGGUUAAAUUGAAUGUGACGUGUCAAGUCGCUACGGUUACCGACACUGAACUCUCAAUUACACCAUUCGUGUUUGUCCAACCAGGGGCGGUUGAAAAGAAGGGAGAGAUGCACAGACUUAUACUGCAAACUAAUUUUAAUGGAUCUGUUGGUUACAUAAAUGACGCUGAUCGUGAAGAGUAUACUUGAGCAGUGAUGUGACGUGGGAAGAAAAGCAGGAGGAGGGAGUGCCUGAGUAAAACAUUUUCUUUGCACAAAUACAAACCAUGUGAAACCUGACCUGGGAGAAAUUUAGCUUUUGUCAUUGGCCCAAAUGCUUUCACUUGAGUUCAAACACACAUAAAGUUUAUCAUCAAACAUUGUUCUGAGAAACGCUCCUGUAACAGCUUUCUGUUGGUACAAUAAAAACCCUUCAGCUGUGUCAUUGCUGGUCUGCUCCAAAUACGGCAUGUCCGUACGAAACACUCCCUCAUCUAUUGGGAAAUAUCCUGAUUAGUCUCAAACUUGAGGAAUAAGGUUGCCCUCCUCUUCUUCACAAGGCAUACAAACACUUGAAGCAUAAUAUCAAGUUCUAGUCAAACAAAGCUGGCAUCCAGUUUAUGCUUUUGCUUCUGCAACAAAAUUGAACACAUUUCUACUCACUUUUAUGUAAAUAUUAUUUUGUUCUUUAUGGUGAUGAUAAUAUUCAUCUAAAUCUUCUUGAGAGCCUCUAAGAUCAUCUAGCGCAUUUAGCUAACUCGACUAAUGAGAGCACAUCUACAUGUUUUACAAAGCAAACUAGGCCAGUUAGAAUUAGAAAAUAUAGCAAAUUAUUAAUACAGAUUACAGUUGCAGAUGCAUUAAGUACAGAGAUAUAAAACUUUCCAUUUAGAGGCUGGUCUGUGCAUCAAAACUAGAAGGCAGCCUGAAAAACACAUUAUUUAUAGCAAGAUUAAAUAAACUAUUGUGUGUGGUCUUCUUCUGCAAAAACUUAUACUGUGUCAGUCUUGACUGAAUAGGACUUUUACCACAUUGAUGCCUUCCAAGUUAUAACGAAACACAUACAAACAUGAAAACAAGCAAAACCAGCUGAAGAUAAAUAAUAUUACAACUGAUGUUCUAGUAAAACAGGCAUUAAAAAGAUUCUCAGUAAUGUUAAUUGUUCAGAGAUCAUAUGAUUUGUAUUUUCUU
This is a long non-coding RNA of Seriola aureovittata, 8254 nucleotides long. RefSeq lists it as uncharacterized. Lineage: Eukaryota; Metazoa; Chordata; Actinopteri; Carangiformes; Carangidae. The transcript has 2 exons. The record is from RefSeq and is a predicted model, not a curated record.